UGGGGGAUAUUGCACAAUGGAGGAAACUCUGAUGCAGCGACGCCGCGUGAGGGAAGACGGUCUUCGGAUUGUAAACCUCUGUCUUAGGGGAAGAAAAUGACGGUACCCUAAGAGGAAGCUCCGGCUAACUACGUGCCAGCAGCCGCGGUAAUACGUAGGGAGCGAGCGUUAAUCGGAAUCACUGGGCGUAAAGCGCACGUAGGCUGUUUGUCAAGUCAGAGGUGAAAUCCCACGGCCCAACCGUGGAACUGCCUUUGAAACUGGCAGACUUGAGUGUCGGAGAGGGUGGCGGAAUUCCAGGUGUAGGAGUGAAAUCCGUAGAUAUCGAGAGGAACACUCGUGGCGAAGGCGGGUUCCUGGACAUUAACUGACGCUGAGGUACGAAGGCUAGGGUAGCGAAAG
Molecule: ribosomal RNA, 402 nt
Filed under: uncultured bacterium
Lineage: Bacteria
Description: bacterial SSU rRNA
Rfam family: Bacterial small subunit ribosomal RNA
Source: RNAcentral